This 254-nucleotide ribosomal RNA is filed under the name uncultured bacterium. RNAcentral's name for it is "partial 16S ribosomal RNA". It matches the Rfam family "Bacterial small subunit ribosomal RNA", at positions 524 to 776 of the family's 1533-position model. The record is from RNAcentral.
UACAGAGGGUGCAAGCGUUAAUCGGAAUUACUGGGCGUAAAGGGUGCGUAGGUGGUUUGUUAAGUCAGGUGUGAAACCUCCAGGCUCAACCUGGAGACGCCACCCGAUACUGCUGUGACUAGAGUCCAGUAGGGGAGCGUGGAAUUCCUGGUGUAGCGGUGAAAUGCGCAGAUAUCAGGAGGAACACCAGUGGCGAAGGCGGCGCUCUGGGCUGGCACUGACACUGAGGAGCGAAAGCGUGGGGAGCGAACAGG